This 6303-nucleotide long non-coding RNA is filed under the name Zea mays. RNAcentral describes it as "long non-coding RNA (ZMAY_LNC001984)". The record is from RNAcentral. Lineage: Eukaryota; Viridiplantae; Streptophyta; Magnoliopsida; Poales; Poaceae.
CACUAUGUAAUUUGCUACAAAUAAUACCAAUAGAGAAACAAUUUCUCUUUAUGUGAGUUUGAUCUCUAUGCAUCAUCCCAUGUGAACACCAUCUUUAAAACAAUUAAGAAAAAUAUAUACUACUAAAUUAUACAUCAUGCUGGGAUUUUGUUGUGAGUGCAUUAUUUGUGACAAUAUAAAAAUAACAUUAAAAAUAUAUAUGUUAAAGUCCAAAGUGGAAUUUAAAAGGAAAAUUCAAGAAUCUAGAGAAAAGAAAAGAAAAAUAAAAAAAAGAAGAAAGAGAGCUAACGCUGGGUUCAGAUUGUGCAUUUGGCCCACUAACUCCAUCCCUCACGCGGCCCAUCUGAGGGGAUCGGCGCCGACAGUGGGGCCCCACUGGUCAUCCACUGGCAACCGUGCACCAGGCGCAUACUCGUUUUCCUCCUCGCUGACGGCUGGGGCCCUCGCGUCAUCACCUAACUCCCGCGAUCUCCGGUGCCUCGCCGGGUGGAUCGGAUCGGUGCGCGCUCCAGCCCUGGUCGUUGCUCCCUACCGAAGUCCUCGCGUCCCUCGGUGUAUAAAGCUAGAGCCCCGUUUCUUCUCCUUCCCGCACCUAUCCUCCCUACGCGGACCCGAGCAAAGAAGCACCUCACCAUCGCCGCACACCAUUAGCUGGGGUGGAGAAGGUUCGCCGUCGCCGCUUGAUUCGCACGGACGCUGCGCGAUUGGUUCUGCACCUGGGCGGGGAACUUCGCCGCGCCUCCACGGUGUUGUCGGUUACCUUCGCAGAGGGAGAUAACCACUUGGUGGCCGACGAUUCUUCACCGUACUCGCUGCUCCGCCGUGGACCCGCCAUCCUCCGUGGCCAGCGUCUCCUGCAACUCCCAAUCCCUGGUAAGACCUCCGAUCGGAUUCAGUGUCGUCCCAGUGUCGUGUAGAGUCGUUCGGAGGAGGGCCUUAGGCUUUCGCGCGCUUGACUGGUGCCACGGUAAUGUCGCCGCCGUCGGGGUUCCGUUCGCCGCCGGCGUUAACUCUGUUUUGGGCGCGGGAUAGACCAGAGGCAGUGGUAACCGUCGAUCGAAUCAGGGACGGCUCUGAUUAGAAAUCGCGUACCGGUUCGUUCUAAUUGCACGGCGACCGUCCGAUCGGGAUCAGGUGGUGAUUACUCGCACUAGGACUCGUUAAAUCAGGGCCGCCGAUGGGGGGAUCCAACGUCUGGGAUCGCAUACCGCCCUGCGGGCAGUCAAUUCUAAUCUGGACCGUCGGUUUGUAAUCGGACGACUGUGAGAACCCCGUACCCCUUCGGCCUUGGCGUUUUACUUAUGAGCCCUCGGGCUUCCAGGGUAUCAACCCGCCGUCCAGAGCAACAGUGCUCUGAGUCUCAGGAUUAGUUGUAGAAUAGCCCCUGGGUUUAUCUGGAUUUGAGGCCCAGUCCAGUGCCAUGAUAAACUGAAUAAAUAAAUUGGAAAAUAGGUUUUUAAUAUAAAAAUAAUUACUAGAACUUUAUAAAUUCAUAGAAAAUUCAUACUAACUCCUUUUUACUCCAUUCCAGUUCCUAAAAUUUUAUAAUUUUAUUCUCUAUCACUUAGAGCCUCUGUUUUGUCAUGAAAACAGUAAUAAAUUUAAUUCCUUACUUAGUCCCAUUCUAAACACAUAAAACAUUUGAAAAUGCAUAACUUAAAAUAUAUAAGUCCAAAAAUUAUGAUUUCUGUUCCUAGAAUUUUAUUUUAAUGUGUAGAUUAUUACUGUGUAUUUUGCAUAUAUGUUUGGUGUAAUGUUAAUUUUGCCUAUACAAUGUUUGUCUGUAUUGCUACGACUAGCAGUGAGGUCACGAGAAUCUGAAGAUCAUCCUGGUACCUGGAAUCUCAAGACCCAGGCAAGUUGUGCCCUUGAUCACUUCUUUUUACCUACUCAUGUUCUGAUUAAUCAUAAUGAUCUGCAUAGGUUAAUUUUGAUGGGACCCAAUAGGUUACCCUAGUUUGUCUAUCUUUAUACCUUGUUUACCACUGAACUUUUUGGGUAGUACUUGCUAGUGCUUUAUGUGGUUUUGGGUAUGAAGAUACAUUACUCAUGAUCACACUUUUAUUAUCUGUUUAUUAUCACUGUUCAUGAUAAGAUCAUUAUGUUAAUUGGAACAUGGAGAACCACCCGGGAAAACAGUGCUACCACAAGGGUUUAAUGGGACGCCCUUGGCCGAUUAAUUAGGAAAGCUAGUGGAAGACUACCUUACCCGAAAGGGGCAAGGGCAGUAGGGGAGUGGUCAGUGUAGGGAGGCCCUCGGGAGGAUUUUGCUGUGAUGGCGGUCCUGCAAGGGAUUCCUGGGAAGGCCCUCGGGAGGAUUUUGCUGUGAUGGCGGUCCUGCAAGGGAUUCCUAGGGAGGCCCUCGGGAGGAUUUUGCUGUGAUGGCGGUCCUGCAAGGGAUUCCUGCAUUGGAGCUUCCUAUAAACUGUAGCGGGUUUUCUGAAGCUAGUGGAACUUUGUAAAGGCCUCGUAGUGUUACCCUGCCUCGCCUCCUCGGUAGAGGUGUAUGGGAAGUCGCGAUCCCUUGGCAGAUGGGUAACAUGACUUGUGGGUAAAGAUGCGCAACCUCUGCAGAGUGUAAAACUGGUAUACUAGCCGUGCUCACGGUCAUGAGCGGCUCGGACACUCACAUGAUUAAAUUAUGGAACUUAAACUCAAUUUGUCAUAUGCAUUGCAUCGCAGGUGAGGUUGUUACUUCUGUUCUACUACUUAAUUGGGUUGAUAUUUACUUAUACUUAGUAAUUGCUAAUAAAAUUUUGACCAACUUUAAAAGCAAUGCUCAGCUCUAACCAUCCUCUUUGGUAAGCCUUACACUUCACGUGAGCUCCCACCUUUGGCGAGUUCAUGCACAUUAUUCCCCACAACUUGUUGAGCGAUGAACGUAUGUGAGCUCACUCUUGCUGUCUCACACCCCCCCCACAGGUCAAGAACAGGUACCGCAGGAUGAGGCGCAUGGAGGAUAUCGUGGCAAGUUCGUGAGUGGUCUAGGUCGUCGUCUCCCAGUCAACUUUGGGUUGCUGGACCGUUGUCUCCUUAUAAUGUAAUUAUUUACUUAUUUUGUAUAGAACUCCGGUUAUGUAGUAAAGAUGUAACAUUCGAUCCUGUGCCAUGAUUCAUCAUAUGUGUGAGACUUGGUCCCAGCACACCUGGUGAUUAUGUUUACGCCCGAGCUUUGGACCCCUAAAACCCGGGUGUUACAGAAGUGGUAUCAGAGCAAUGUUGACUGUAGGACGAAACCUAGAUAGAACUGGACAACCAAUACUUACUUACCUUUGCUACUCUGAUGCUUUUCUAAACUUUUCUUAAUCUUUUCUCAUCUAUUCCCGCUUUACUCUGAUUAUUCUUACCUUUUCCUUCUAAAGACAAAAGUGGAUUUCACACUUUGAAAUCCUGUGCCUAAAGUGACUUUAGGAAUAGGAGACCUACUCUUAGGAACAAAAUCAAAACUAUUUUUAUAGGUAUAUAUGUGCUUGAAUGUUUGUUCUUAUGAUACAUGUCUGAUUUGGUUCUUUGAUUGAGUGUGAUGAAUUGUGGAGUAAUAUCCACAAUUGUAUCUGCAUAUACAUAUAGGCGUAAAAAAACAAUAUGAUAACUCAACAAAUUAGAUUAUUCCUCAUUAAAAUAUAUCUAGCUUAAUAGAUUCAUCUUACCUUAAAAGGAUUCUAUCUUAUCCUUCCGACUUGUCAUAACCACUUUGCUUACCUCAUCCUAGAGUAACAACCAUGAUCUAGCCUAAAAUAAAUAGAUCUUAUCUAGUUAUACCAAUCUGAUCUAGAUCCCACCUAAUCUAACAUGAGCUAAUCCAAAUUGAGUUACUUAAGUAAGUUAGACAUAAAUUAGGCCCUGAUUCUAUAAACAUAUCUUACCCUAAAUUAAUGCCUUGGACUAACUCGUCCGUAAACAACAACCUAACCUACAUCAUAGGUUGCCUAAUCCAGAUAUCCUAAAAGCAAAGUAAAAAUAUGUUUAAAUCUAACUACCUCAUGUACCCUAGCUAUCCUAGCUAUAUCCAUAUGCCCUCAACUCGGAUGGCAACUCCAGGAGGAAGGCCAAAGAAGACCAACAUCGUCAAGGAAGGAGAAGGAGAUCAACCUCGACAUGGAAGAAUACGAGUCAAAUCAGAUCUCGAGAUAAUUCAAGAUUCACCACCCAAGAUGAAGUCUUUCCUUAUUAUACUCAUCCUUGCCACGACCUAUACUUGCCAUAAACCGUACCUCAUCUGACCUAAUAGAUGGCUAGACAUACAAUAUCCAUGUGUUCCAAAUCGUCUAUUAACCGUUAUGUAAAAACUUGAACAAAACUUUGAUUUCCAAAACCCAAAUGAGAAACUAAAAUUCUAGACCAAACUUAUUGUAUCCCUUUUCUUACAAAUCUCGAGGACGAGAUUAUUUUUAAGGGGGUAGGAUUUGUAACACCCACUAUGUAAUUUGCUACAAAUAAUACCAAUAGAGAAACAAUUUCUCUUUAUGUGAGUUUGAUCUCUAUGCAUCAUCCCAUGUGAACACCAUCUUUAAAACAAUUAAGAAAAAUAUAUACUACUAAAUUAUACAUCAUGCUGGGAUUUUGUUGUGAGUGCAUUAUUUGUGACAAUAUAAAAAUAACAUUAAAAAUAUAUAUGUUAAAGUCCAAAGUGGAAUUUAAAAGGAAAAUUCAAGAAUCUAGAGAAAAGAAAAGAAAAAUAAAAAAAAGAAGAAAGAGAGCUAACGCUGGGUUCAGAUUGUGCAUUUGGCCCACUAACUCCAUCCCUCACGCGGCCCAUCUGAGGGGAUCGGCGCCGACAGUGGGGCCCCACUGGUCAUCCACUGGCAACCGUGCACCAGGCGCAUACUCGUUUUCCUCCUCGCUGACGGCUGGGGCCCUCGCGUCAUCACCUAACUCCCGCGAUCUCCGGUGCCUCGCCGGGUGGAUCGGAUCGGUGCGCGCUCCAGCCCUGGUCGUUGCUCCCUACCGAAGUCCUCGCGUCCCUCGGUGUAUAAAGCUAGAGCCCCGUUUCUUCUCCUUCCCGCACCUAUCCUCCCUACGCGGACCCGAGCAAAGAAGCACCUCACCAUCGCCGCACACCAUUAGCUGGGGUGGAGAAGGUUCGCCGUCGCCGCUUGAUUCGCACGGACGCUGCGCGAUUGGUUCUGCACCUGGGCGGGGAACUUCGCCGCGCCUCCACGGUGUUGUCGGUUACCUUCGCAGAGGGAGAUAACCACUUGGUGGCCGACGAUUCUUCACCGUACUCGCUGCUCCGCCGUGGACCCGCCAUCCUCCGUGGCCAGCGUCUCCUGCAACUCCCAAUCCCUGGUAAGACCUCCGAUCGGAUUCAGUGUCGUCCCAGUGUCGUGUAGAGUCGUUCGGAGGAGGGCCUUAGGCUUUCGCGCGCUUGACUGGUGCCACGGUAAUGUCGCCGCCGUCGGGGUUCCGUUCGCCGCCGGCGUUAACUCUGUUUUGGGCGCGGGAUAGACCAGAGGCAGUGGUAACCGUCGAUCGAAUCAGGGACGGCUCUGAUUAGAAAUCGCGUACCGGUUCGUUCUAAUUGCACGGCGACCGUCCGAUCGGGAUCAGGUGGUGAUUACUCGCACUAGGACUCGUUAAAUCAGGGCCGCCGAUGGGGGGAUCCAACGUCUGGGAUCGCAUACCGCCCUGCGGGCAGUCAAUUCUAAUCUGGACCGUCGGUUUGUAAUCGGACGACUGUGAGAACCCCGUACCCCUUCGGCCUUGGCGUUUUACUUAUGAGCCCUCGGGCUUCCAGGGUAUCAACCCGCCGUCCAGAGCAACAGUGCUCUGAGUCUCAGGAUUAGUUGUAGAAUAGCCCCUGGGUUUAUCUGGAUUUGAGGCCCAGUCCAGUGCCAUGAUAAACUGAAUAAAUAAAUUGGAAAAUAGGUUUUUAAUAUAAAAAUAAUUACUAGAACUUUAUAAAUUCAUAGAAAAUUCAUACUAACUCCUUUUUACUCCAUUCCAGUUCCUAAAAUUUUAUAAUUUUAUUCUCUAUCACUUAGAGCCUCUGUUUUGUCAUGAAAACAGUAAUAAAUUUAAUUCCUUACUUAGUCCCAUUCUAAACACAUAAAACAUUUGAAAAUGCAUAACUUAAAAUAUAUAAGUCCAAAAAUUAUGAUUUCUGUUCCUAGAAUUUUAUUUUAAUGUGUAGAUUAUUACUGUGUAUUUUGCAUAUAUGUUUGGUGUAAUGUUAAUUUUGCCUAUACAAUGUUUGUCUGUAUUGCUACGACUAGCAGUGAGGUCACGAGAAUCUGAAGAUCAUCCUGGUACCUGGAAUCUCAAGACCCAGGCAAGUUGUGCCCUUGAUCACUUCUUUUUACC